This 75-nucleotide transfer RNA is filed under the name Thermolongibacillus altinsuensis. RNAcentral's name for it is "tRNA-Met". It matches the Rfam family "tRNA". From Rfam's summary of the family: Transfer RNA (tRNA) molecules are approximately 80 nucleotides in length. Lineage: Bacteria; Bacillati; Bacillota; Bacilli; Caryophanales; Anoxybacillaceae. The record is from RNAcentral.
GGCGGCGUAGCUCAGCUGGCUAGAGCAUACGGUUCAUACCCGUAAGGUCGGGGGUUCGAUUCCCUCCGCCGCUAC